UUUUCUUAAACUAUAAGUAAUAGGUCAACUAUAUAUGUUGUAUAGAAGCAUUGUUAGCUGUACAUGUCUGCCUGGCAUGGUUCAUCUGACCUUGACCUCAUUUUCAAGGUUCAUUGGUCUAUGUUUAGUUAUCUUGGUUAAUGUUAAGUUUAUGUGACAGUUGUUAUAAAGCUUAGCUUUAUACUAAGGACUAUCAACAUAAUAUCAAUGAUUAGUAUAGAAGGCGAGACAUUUCAGCGUGUGCACUCUUGUUUCUCUAUUCUCUAUUUAUUUAUUUGAUCUUUUUUUUAUACCUAGUACAUUUCUAUAAGUUUUCCACAGUUGCAUAUACAUAUAUUUUAAGUUUCCUUAAAGAUUUAUGCAAUUUUUUAUGUAUAUGGAUUAAUACAUUUAGUUUCAAUCAACUUUAGAAGAGGCUUUGUAAUUUGUUACCCUCUCCUCCAAUAAAAUUCAGAAUUUAAGGAGCAUUAUACAUAACCAUAGCUAAUAUAUAAUGAUAACUUGCAACCAUAUAAAACAUAUUUUCAAUGUGUUUUGAUAACACUUUCAAUUGAAGUGUGAAAAUUUCCAUCUAAGAAAGGUAAUAAAAAAAAAUUAUAAAUACAUCGUAUUAAA
This 615-nucleotide long non-coding RNA is filed under the name Mytilus galloprovincialis (Mediterranean mussel). Lineage: Eukaryota; Metazoa; Mollusca; Bivalvia; Mytilida; Mytilidae. The record is from RNAcentral.